GGAAAGGCGAGGUGUGACGGUCAUUUCGUAAUCGUUCCCUCAUGGCAAUCCUGGAUGUCUGAGGGGGGUUUGCCUCGGUGACAGAAGCUGUUUUUCCUCCCUUCUCCAGGGGAAUCCCAGAUAGCUCUUGAUUCCAUAACCAUCACAGUACAUGCCUGCACAUUCACAAGGAAGAAGCAGAUUGCUGCAUUCUGUACCAGCUCUAGCAUCAUCUCCAAACUGCUAUAGGCAAAAAAGCU
This 239-nucleotide long non-coding RNA is filed under the name Salvator merianae (Argentine black and white tegu). RNAcentral describes it as "lncRNA (ENSSMRG00000012577.1)". Lineage: Eukaryota; Metazoa; Chordata; Lepidosauria; Squamata; Teiidae. The record is from RNAcentral.